Molecule: unclassified non-coding RNA, 789 nt
Filed under: Hevea brasiliensis (rubber tree)
Lineage: Eukaryota; Viridiplantae; Streptophyta; Magnoliopsida; Malpighiales; Euphorbiaceae
Source: RNAcentral
GCUAGCUUCACUAGACAGUAUCCAAAAUGCUCACGAAGACUCACUUUGGACGGCAGCGUGGGUCAGAUCGGACGGCGAUAAACCGGCGCUACUUCUCACAGGAGGGCUUGAUGAAACUGUUAGGUUAUGGGACCCAACCAAACUCACUUGCCUUCACACAAACACCGGUCAUUGCCUCGGCGUUGUAUCAGUCACUGCUCAUCCGAAUCGGAGAAUUGCCGCUUCUGCUUCUCUAGACAGCUUCAUUCGAGUGUUUGAGGUUGAUACUAAUAACACCAUCGCUACUCUCGAAGCUCCUCCAUCUGAAGUCUGGCAAUUGCAAUUUAGUCCCGAUGGUAGCACUUUGGCAGCAGCUGGAGGUGGUAGUUCAUCAGUCAAGCUAUGGGACACCACUCAGUGGCAACUUGUUGCCACAUUGUCUAUUCCGCGUCAAGGAGGUUCGCAACCAUCCGAGAGAAGUGGCAGCAAGAAAUUUGUCCUCUCGGUUGCAUGGAAUCCUGAUGGGAGGCUUCUGGCCUGUGGUUCAGUUGAUGGAACAAUCUCUGUUUUUGAUGUAGCUCGUGUGAAAUUCCUCCACUUCUUGGAAGGCCAUUGCAUGCCUGUGCGCUCUCUCGUGUUUUCACCUUUACUCCAUGAAUCAAGGAUACUUUUCUCAGGAUCAGAUGAUGGUCAUGUGCAUGUGUAUGAUGCUGAGGGAAAGACCUUUCUCACAUCUUUGUCAGGUCAUGCGAGUUGGGUUUUGAGUGUGGAUGUUUCUCCAGAUGGGGCAGCCGUUGCAACAGGUUCAAG